CACCGCGGUUAAACGAGAGGCCCAAAUUGAUGCUCACGGCGUAAAGGGUGGUUAAAUCAAAUAAUGUUACUAGGACCGAACUUACCCUAGGCUGUUAUACGUUUACGGAGUAGUGAAGCCCAUAAACGAAAGUCGUCCUAAGAAAUUGAAUCCACGAAAGCUGGGAAA
This 168-nucleotide ribosomal RNA is filed under the name Neosynchiropus ocellatus (ocellated dragonet). Its description in RNAcentral is "partial small subunit ribosomal RNA". The record is from RNAcentral. Lineage: Eukaryota; Metazoa; Chordata; Actinopteri; Syngnathiformes; Callionymidae.